GGAUUAGAAACCCGGGUAGUCCUAGCCUUAAACGAUGUAUGCUUGGUGUCUGGGGUUUACAACUCCCCGGGUGCCGGCGCUAACGCAUUAAGCAUACCGCCUGGGGAGUACGGCCGCAAGGCUAAAACUCAAAGGAAUUGACGGGGGCCCGCACAAGCGGCGGAGCAUGUGGCUUAAUUCGAUGCGACGCGAAGAACCUUACCAAGGCUUGACAUGAAUGGAAAUCUCACAGAGAUGUGAGGUCCGCAAGGGUCAUUCACAGGUGGUGCAUGGUUGUCGUCAGCUCGUGUCGUGAGAUGUUGGGUUAAGUCCCGCAACGAGCGCAACCCUCGUCCUAUGUUGCCAGCACGUCAUGGUGGGGACUCAUAGGAGACUGCCGGGGUCAACUCGGAGG
Molecule: ribosomal RNA, 394 nt
Filed under: uncultured bacterium
Lineage: Bacteria
Description: bacterial SSU rRNA
Rfam family: Bacterial small subunit ribosomal RNA
Source: RNAcentral